ACAAAACAAAAACAUUAGCAGGAAAAACCCAAAAUGGAUACCAGCCAAAAGCCUUACGAUUGAAAAAACCCAUUCAAAGCUCGAAGGGGCCGAAAGAAGGUAGCUUUGAAGCCAGCAAUGGAGAUUCAAACUGAACCUUCUCCAACCUUCAAAGCUCAGAAAACCCUUAACGAUGAUGAAACCAUGCAGACUGAUCCAUCUCUACUAGCUUUGCAACAGGAUCCGGAGCUUCCUCAACCCAGAAACAAGAGGUGUUUCGAUGGCGUCCAUCCAUUGCCAAAGCGUGCGCCGCCCUAUUAACCUCUCUGGGAACAAAACGGUACACAACGUUAUCAAAAGCUCUCUAAUAAUUGAAUAUUUUGCGUAAUCGAUCUAAGGAUAGAUCUGUCCUCUUUGGUCGAGUUUAAUUUUUUGAUAGUUGUCAGGGAGUCUCCUUCCAAGAUAAGUUUACUGAAGCCCAUAUCCUACGCAAAAUAAAGAGCCCUUUCACACAUACGCAUUUCUACAACAAGCACCCAUAAUCUGGCCUUCCGCAUCUCUAGCUAGGACUGCUACAAUAGAUACAUUAGUGUUGCUCAUAAAAGAAGCAUCAAAGUUCAGUUUAAUAUUUCUAACUGUAGGUGGUUGCCACAAAACGUUCAUUGCUACUUCCAGAGGAGAGACAAUAACUUUACUACUGCUAAAAUCCUGAGCAUAGCUCAGAAUAAAGCCCAUAAGUUCACGUAUCCUGAAGUUAAGUCCCUCAUUUACCAACUUAUUCCUUUUAUACCAAAGAGCCCACAAAGAAAUAGUAAUGAGUUUCUUGGACAACAUAUCAGCAGCUAGAAAAUUAUUACAAAUUGUGUUUUCCAUUCGAGGUAUCAAUGCUGGAGUCGAAAGAGAGAUUCAAAAGAACCCAGAGUUGUCUCAAGACGCUACAAGUCCAAAAUAAGUGAUGUGAAUCCUUUGGAGCCUCAUUGCACAAAGGACAG
Molecule: long non-coding RNA, 971 nt
Filed under: Gossypium barbadense (sea-island cotton)
Lineage: Eukaryota; Viridiplantae; Streptophyta; Magnoliopsida; Malvales; Malvaceae
Description: long non-coding RNA (GBAR_LNC005011)
Source: RNAcentral